GAUGAACGCUGGCGGCGUGCCUAAUACAUGCAAGUCGAGCGAACAGACGAGGAGCUUGCUCCUCUGACGUUAGCGGCGGACGGGUGAGUAACACGUGGAUAACCUACCUAUAAGACUGGGAUGACUUCGGGAAACCGGAGCUAAUACCGGAUAAUAUAUUGAACCGCAUGGUUCAAUAGUGAAAGACGGUUUUGCUGUCACUUAUAGAUGGAUCCGCGCCGCAUUAGCUAGUUGGUAAGGUAACGGCUUACCAAGGCAACGAUGCGUAGCCGACCUGAGAGGGUGAUCGGCCACACUGGAACUGAGACACGGUCCAGACUCCUACGGGAGGCAGCAGUAGGGAAUCUUCCGCAAUGGGCGAAAGCUUGACGGAGCAACGCCGCGUGAGUGAUGAAGGUCUUCGGAUCGUAAAACUCUGUUAUUAGGGAAGAACAAAUGUGUAAGUAACUAUGCACGUCUUGACGGUACCUAAUCAGAAAGCCACGGCUAACUACGUG
Molecule: ribosomal RNA, 497 nt
Filed under: uncultured bacterium
Lineage: Bacteria
Description: partial 16S ribosomal RNA
Rfam family: Bacterial small subunit ribosomal RNA
Source: RNAcentral